AGCGAACCCGGCGCAGGGUUCCCGGACGAGGGUGCCGUACCCGGUGUGCGACAAGACGGCCUGC
This 64-nucleotide non-coding RNA is filed under the name unclassified sequences. The record is from Rfam.